Perognathus longimembris pacificus (Pacific pocket mouse) is the source of this 291-nucleotide long non-coding RNA. RefSeq lists it as uncharacterized. The record is from RefSeq and is a predicted model, not a curated record. NCBI's taxonomy places the organism in Eukaryota, Metazoa, Chordata, Mammalia, Rodentia, Heteromyidae. The transcript has 3 exons.
CAGGCCCUGAGUUCACACCCCAGGACUGGCAAAAAAAAUAAAUAAGAAAAAACUAGAUUGGAAGAGAUUUAAGGGUUUUGUUUAGAUUUGGAUUAAAAAAAAACUAUUUAAGACACUGAGGAAUUUGAGCACUGAUUGGUAGGAAUAAGAAGUUAUGAUGACUUAAUAGCCAGUUAAAUCUGACUUAAGUACUUACUGAAUUAUUAACAAACACUUGGAGGUAUGGGAUGGUUCAGAAUAGAGGUCUGUGAAGAUAUAAAUGGAAGAUGAUUUGCUGUGACUUACAAUGAA